UGGGGAAUAUUGGACAAUGGGCGAAAGCCUGAUCCAGCCAUGCCGCGUGAGUGAUGAAGGCCCUAGGGUUGUAAAGCUCUUUCACCGAUGAAGAUAAUGACGGUAGUCGGAGAAGAAGCCCCGGCUAACUUCGUGCCAGCAGCCGCGGUAAUACGAAGGGGGCUAGCGUUGUUCGGAAUCACUGGGCGUAAAGCGCACGUAGGCGGAUUGUUAAGUGAGGGGUGAAAUCCCGGGGCUCAACCCCGGAACUGCCUUUCAUACUGGCAAUCUCGAGUUCGAGAGAGGUAAGUGGAAUUCCGAGUGUAGAGGUGAAAUUCGUAGAUAUUCGGAGGAACACCAGUGGCGAAGGCGGCUUACUGGAUCGAUACUGACGCUGAGGUGCGAAAGCGUGGGGAGCAAA
RNAcentral lists this ribosomal RNA (400 nucleotides) under uncultured bacterium. Its description in RNAcentral is "bacterial SSU rRNA". It matches the Rfam family "Bacterial small subunit ribosomal RNA", at positions 355 to 772 of the family's 1533-position model. The record is from RNAcentral.